RNAcentral lists this long non-coding RNA (286 nucleotides) under Homo sapiens (human). RNAcentral's name for it is "HSALNT0319529". Lineage: Eukaryota; Metazoa; Chordata; Mammalia; Primates; Hominidae. The record is from RNAcentral.
AUUCCAUUCAAUUCCAUUCCAUUCCUUUCCACUCGGGUUGAUUCCAUUCCAUUCAAUUCCGUUCCGUUCUGUUCCAUUCCAUUCCAUUGCAUUAGAUACCAUUCCAUUCCACUCGGGAUGAUUCCAUUCAAUUCCAUUAUAUUCCGUUCAAUUCCAUUGCAUUCCAUUCCAUUCCAUUUCACUCGGGUUUAUUCCAUUCCAUUCCAUUCCAUUCCAUUCCAUUCCAUUCCAUUCCAUUCCAUUAGUUUCUAAUCGGGUGAUUCCAAUCCAUUCCAUUAUAUUCAAG